RNAcentral lists this long non-coding RNA (716 nucleotides) under Heterocephalus glaber (naked mole-rat). RNAcentral's name for it is "lncRNA (ENSHGLG00000025260.2)". Lineage: Eukaryota; Metazoa; Chordata; Mammalia; Rodentia; Bathyergidae. The record is from RNAcentral.
AAAACCCUGCCUCACAAAGAAAGGGUGUUGGAAAUGGAAGCAGGCUUUUCAGUGCUUUUGUGGCAACCUCAGGAUACUCUCCCUUGACUUCAAUCGAACAUAUGGAGAUGUGAAGUUAUCUCAGACAUAAUUCUAAGAUCACCGUUCCUUGUGACUCAAGAAGUUGAUCCUCUUCUAGCAAAGACAGAGUCGAUUCACCUGGCUUCUUCACACAUGGGACCCCUGCUCUAGAAGGAGGACAGAAGGACACACCACACUCACAAGGCGAUGAUCAAUCAGAAGCCCUGGGUGGAGGAGCUGCCUCAGGAAGUGGUCCCAGCUCUGAGGACAGUGACAAUGAGGAACACCAGUCGCUGCUUUUUGUCAAGAUUGAAAAAGCUUCCUUGUGCUGGCAGCCAAUGCAGAGAUUCACCAGGAGUGAGACAGAAAGAGAGAUACAGAGGCCCAGGACCUCCAGCCAUCCCCACAGCCCAGAUCCACCCUGGGCUUUCCAAGCGCUUGAGCCAAUAAAUCUCCUCUGCUCUUUAUUCCUCCUAAACUAAGUUUCUUUCACCGACAGCCAAGCAUUUACUAACAUGCUCAAGAAAUACCUGUUGGGGCCAGUCACAGCUUCCCAAACCCUGGCAUGUCUUCAAGAUCCCAGGUCUAAAAGGCCCUGGUUCUAAAUCAACGAUCGGGACCCCACAAGUUCCUGAUAGGUUUAAUACACUCUCACA